RNAcentral lists this ribosomal RNA (253 nucleotides) under uncultured bacterium. Its description in RNAcentral is "partial 16S ribosomal RNA". It matches the Rfam family "Bacterial small subunit ribosomal RNA", at positions 524 to 776 of the family's 1533-position model. The record is from RNAcentral.
UACAGAGGUGGCAAGCGUUGUUCGGAAUUACUGGGCGUAAAGCGCGUGUAGGCGGCUCUUCAAGUCAGGCGUGAAAGCCCCGGGCUCAACCGGGGAACUGCGUCUGAUACUGGGUGGCUUGAAUCCGGGAGAGGGAUGCGGAAUUCCAGGUGUAGCGGUGAAAUGCGUAGAUAUCUGGAGGAAUACCGGUGGCGAAGGCGGCAUCCUGGACCGGCAUUGACGCUGAGGAGCGAAAGCCAGGGGAGCAAACGGG